UUUAUCAUAUUAGAGGGCUAUGAUAUUCGAUAAAAUAGUAAGAGUAAUAAUUAAAUAAAAGACUUAGUCCAAUUAUUUAUGUCAUCAUGAGUUAUUCAUUUAUAUAGUGUUCUUAUUAUUAUAGAUUAACUGCAUAAUGGCAUCCUCACUAUUAUUACGUGGCAUAUUAGAUGCAAAUAAAUUGAUCAGACUAAAUUAUGUGGACUGAUUGAGAAACUUAAAAAUAUUUGUUAUACAAAAGAAAGUCUCCAAUAUAUAGAAUAUCCCUGCACCUGAUA
RNAcentral lists this long non-coding RNA (278 nucleotides) under Elaeis guineensis (African oil palm). RNAcentral's name for it is "long non-coding RNA (EGUI_LNC056262)". The record is from RNAcentral. Lineage: Eukaryota; Viridiplantae; Streptophyta; Magnoliopsida; Arecales; Arecaceae.